UAUGGCCACAGCAUGUUGAAACGCUGGUUCCUGUAUGAUCACCAAAGUUAAGCAAUAUCAAGUCUGGUCAGUACCUAGAUGGGUGACCACUUAGGAAUACUAGGUGCUGUAAG
Acanthosepion pharaonis is the source of this 113-nucleotide non-coding RNA. The record is from the annotation of a GenBank genome assembly. NCBI's taxonomy places the organism in Eukaryota, Metazoa, Mollusca, Cephalopoda, Sepiida, Sepiidae.